RNAcentral lists this ribosomal RNA (305 nucleotides) under uncultured bacterium. RNAcentral's name for it is "bacterial SSU rRNA". It matches the Rfam family "Bacterial small subunit ribosomal RNA", at positions 333 to 655 of the family's 1533-position model. The record is from RNAcentral.
CUAUACCUACGGGAGGCAGCAGUGGGGAAUAUUGCACAAUGGGGGAAACCCUGAUGCAGCGACGCCGCGUGAAGGAUGAAGUAUUUCGGUAUGUAAACUUCUAUCAGCAGGGAAGAAAAUGACGGUACCUGACUAAGAAGCCCCGGCUAACUAUGUGCCAGCAGCCGCGGUAAUACAUAGGGGGCAAGCGUUAUCCGGAAUUAUUGGGUGUAAAGGGUGCGUAGACGGAAGAACAAGUUGGUUGUGAAAUCCCUCGGCUCAACUGAGGAACUGCAACCAAAACUAUUCUCCUUGAGUGUCGGAGA